This 215-nucleotide long non-coding RNA is filed under the name Lathyrus oleraceus (garden pea). RNAcentral describes it as "Pisum sativum (pea) long non-coding RNA (PSAT_LNC035153)". The record is from RNAcentral. Lineage: Eukaryota; Viridiplantae; Streptophyta; Magnoliopsida; Fabales; Fabaceae.
AAAUAUUUAGCGAGGUUAAACCCUAAAGUAUAGGAAGGGAUCCAAAUAUUUAGCAAGGUUAAACCCUAAUCCACACCAUUAUAAAUACUUCAUAUGGCGGCAGCGAGAGAGAAGAGGAAAAAGAGGAGAGAUACAGGAGAAGAAGAUACACAAGGCAAGGCAGAAGCAAGAAGAUUCACGGGCAGGGAAAAGAGAAGCAACCAUAAAGCACUCAU